Pimephales promelas (fathead minnow) is the source of this 273-nucleotide non-coding RNA. The record is from RefSeq and is a predicted model, not a curated record. NCBI's taxonomy places the organism in Eukaryota, Metazoa, Chordata, Actinopteri, Cypriniformes, Leuciscidae.
CAAAUCCUCUAAAAGAUGCAGAGAGCAGUAUAAAAAUGGGAAAAGACAAAGACAUAAUAACCGGGAGAUAUAAAAAUCCUGUCAAAGUUUGUCCAUGAGCCUGUCGCUCCAGCCUUGACAGGAAGUGAAGUCACAUCUCCUAAAGAGUUUGUCCAUGAGCCUGUCACUCCAGCCUUGACAAGAAGUGAAGUCACAUCACCUGAAGAGUUUGUCCAUGAGCCUGUCACUCCAGCCUUGACAAGAAGUGAAGUCACAUCUCCUGAAGAGGUUUGU